GGGCCCUUAGCUCAGCUGGCUAGAGCGUACGACUGAUAAUCGUAAGGUCGGUGGUUCGAGCCCACUAGGGCCCACCA
This 77-nucleotide transfer RNA is filed under the name Clostridiales bacterium 52_15. RNAcentral describes it as "tRNA-Ile". It matches the Rfam family "tRNA". Rfam says of the family: Transfer RNA (tRNA) molecules are approximately 80 nucleotides in length. Their secondary structure includes four short double-helical elements and three loops (D, anti-codon, and T loops). The record is from RNAcentral. Lineage: Bacteria; Bacillati; Bacillota; Clostridia; Eubacteriales.